UUGAAGAGUUUGAUCAUGGCUCAGAUUGAACGCUGGCGGCAGGCCUAACACAUGCAAGUCGAACGGUAACAGGAAGAAGCUUGCUUCUUUGCUGACGAGUGGCGGACGGGUGAGUAAUGUCUGGGAAACUGCCUGAUGGAGGGGGAUAACUACUGGAAACGGUAGCUAAUACCGCAUAACGUCGCAAGACCAAAGAGGGGGACCUUCGGGCCUCUUACCAUCGGAUGUGCCCAGAUGGGAUUAGCUAGUAGGUGGGGUAACGGCUCACCUAGGCGACGAUCCCUAGCUGGUCUGAGAGGAUGACCAGCCACACUGGAACUGAGACACGGUCCAGACUCCUACGGGAGGCAGCAGUGGGGAAUAUUGCACAAUGGGCGCAAGCCUGAUGCAGCCAUGCCGCGUGUAUGAAGAAGGCCUUCGGGUUGUAAAGUACUUUCAGCGGGGAGGAAGGGAGUAAAGUUAAUACCUUUGCUCAUUGACGUUACCCGCAGAAGAAGCACCGGCUAACUCCGUGCCAGCAGCCGCGGUAAUACGGAGGGUGCAAGCGUUAAUCGGAAUUACUGGGCGUAAAGCGCACGCAGGCGGUUUGUUAAGUCAGAUGUGAAAUCCCCGGGCUCAACCUGGGAACUGCAUCUGAUACUGGCAAGCUUGAGUCUCGUAGAGGGGGGUAGAAUUCCAGGUGUAGCGGUGAAAUGCGUAGAGAUCUGGAGGAAUACCGGUGGCGAAGGCGGCCCCCUGGACGAAGACUGACGCUCAGGUGCGAAAGCGUGGGGAGCAAACAGGAUUAGAUACCCUGGUAGUCCACGCCGUAAACGAUGUCGACUUGGAGGUUGUGCCCUUGAGGCGUGGCUUCCGGAGCUAACGCGUUAAGUCGACCGCCUGGGGAGUACGGCCGCAAGGUUAAAACUCAAAUGAAUUGACGGGGGCCCGCACAAGCGGUGGAGCAUGUGGUUUAAUUCGAUGCAACGCGAAGAACCUUACCUGGUCUUGACAUCCACGGAAGUUUUCAGAGAUGAGAAUGUGCCUUCGGGAACCGUGAGACAGGUGCUGCAUGGCUGUCGUCAGCUCGUGUUGUGAAAUGUUGGGUUAAGUCCCGCAACGAGCGCAACCCUUAUCCUUUGUUGCCAGCGGUCCGGCCGGGAACUCAAAGGAGACUGCCAGUGAUAAACUGGAGGAAGGUGGGGAUGACGUCAAGUCAUCAUGGCCCUUACGACCAGGGCUACACACGUGCUACAAUGGCGCAUACAAAGAGAAGCGACCUCGCGAGAGCAAGCGGACCUCAUAAAGUGCGUCGUAGUCCGGAUUGGAGUCUGCAACUCGACUCCAUGAAGUCGGAAUCGCUAGUAAUCGUGGAUCAGAAUGCCACGGUGAAUACGUUCCCGGGCCUUGUACACACCGCCCGUCACACCAUGGGAGUGGGUUGCAAAAGAAGUAGGUAGCUUAACCUUCGGGAGGGCGCUUACCACUUUGUGAUUCAUGACUGGGGUGAAGUCGUAACAAGGUAACCGUAGGGGAACCUGCGGUUGGAUCACCUCCUU
RNAcentral lists this ribosomal RNA (1538 nucleotides) under Escherichia coli. RNAcentral's name for it is "bacterial SSU rRNA". It matches the Rfam family "Bacterial small subunit ribosomal RNA". The record is from RNAcentral. Lineage: Bacteria; Pseudomonadati; Pseudomonadota; Gammaproteobacteria; Enterobacterales; Enterobacteriaceae.